Non-coding RNA from Sus scrofa (pig), 1655 nucleotides. Lineage: Eukaryota; Metazoa; Chordata; Mammalia; Artiodactyla; Suidae. The record is from RefSeq and is a predicted model, not a curated record.
CAGCCCUGUCAUGGUCCAGCACACGAGCAAAAAUAGCCUGCAGCCCCCAGAGCUGACUGUGCGCCGGGCGUGCCAAGCGCUGUGUGUGAAGCUUUCUAAGAUGUCAGGGUAGAUUCCAGAUUUGGAUAGCGGAACCCCACCGCCGGCUGCUAUAUUCAUGCAUUAGCUCCAUCAGUCCUCCUAACGAUCCUAUGGGGCUAGAACCUGCCAUUACAGCUGUUUGACAGGUGAGGCAGUGAGGCUGAGGGAGCUUGAGUGACUUGCUCAACGUCACAUAGCCAGGCGGCAUCAUCAGUGGCAGGUUUGAAGCCCUGGGGAUGUGCUGCUGACUUCCAGGACACGUGGGUCUGUGAGUCUGAAUGUCCUGAUCAGAAGUCACGGGAUGGCUGGGAGGAGGCCGGUCCACAGCCCAAGCUGCCUCCUUCCCCCUCUGCCCCCGCGCGGGCCUGCAGGGCCCCCCGUUCUAGACCGGAGUUGGGAAGCCUGAUCUACCUCCUUCCACUGGCUCUGCCUCUUCGAGGAGACACCUGCCCUUCCAUCUUCUCUUGGCUCUCAUGCCAGACUGCCUGGCAUUGGGGUUACCUGCCCGUGUGUCCGUGUCCCAGUUUAGAAUGUGCGCUCCACGAGGUCAAGGAUGGAUCUGGCCCAUGUUCAAGUCCCCUUGUGCUCACAGCCCGGGCCCCUGGCCCUGUAGCCCUCCCCACUCCCAGCCUGGGUCUUGGCUCACCCACGGUGGUGAUGGGCCGGCGGUAGGGCAGAAAACCAAAGCUGUGCUGGAAGACGCCCCGGCCGUGGAAGAGCGGGAGCGAGAUCCCCAUGAUCCUCUGUAGCCGGUCCUGGCACCAGCGCAGCCAGGAGCCAGGUAUGCCUUCUUCUUUAGUGACAUGACCAUCCAGAAGCUAGGCAGUGGCGAGCUGCUGGGCCCGCGCUUGCACUGUUCCCUUCGCAGGCCACCUCUCCUUCCCUGGUGGACUCAGGAUUCAGCUCACAGGAAGGAGUGAAUGCACAGAGCCAGCAUCCACUAGGCUCCACCCAAGGCCAGAAACCGCUUAUAGUUUUCUUUGGCUGAGUGGCUGACAUCAACCCUCUAAGGCUACAGGCCAUCCUUUCCCCUGGGAACACUGGCCUUCCUGCCCAGAAGAGCAGGCCUUGGCCUGGGGAGAGGAAGGAGGGAUGGGCAUUCAGAAUCUCAGUGCUCAGAGAUCCUGGCGGUGGGGAUGAGGGACUCUGCGCACGAAUCCCACGGAUCCUCUCAGGACCAUGACAAGGUCAGCAGGCGGGGAAGGCGCCCAGCAGAGGAAGCAGAUGCGGCCCGUGAGGAAGACCACCUCCACCUGGGUGCUUCAGGGGAGCUCAGCACUGCCCACCUGCUCUGUCAUUGAACAUCUAUCGCCCCCCAUGAGCAUGGAAGCUUCUGCCAGCCAACUCCCCCUCCCGACCCCCCAUGCCCAGCCCCUUCCCUGCUGCCCUGCCCUGCUGAUCCCACCCGUGCCCUUUGCCCAGGAGGCCCUGCUCACUGGUGCCAAAGGCUCCUGAACCCUGGUUGUUGCUCAGCGUUUGCUCAUCCCUGCUGGGCCCUGAGAUGCUCAGAAGGGAGCGAGGCAGAGGCUCUGCCUCUGCAGCUGAGUUCUCAUGACUCAGACAAGUUGCUCUGA